AUAGAAGCUACUAAGGGCAUACGGUGGAUGCCUUGGCGUCAAAUGCCGAUGAAGGACGUAGUACACUGCGAUAAGCUUCGGGAAGCUGUGUGCAAGCAUUAUUACCCGAAGAUCUCCGAAUGGGGAAACCUGCACGAGCGAUCCUCGUGCGUCCCAAGCUGAACACAUAGGCUUGGGAAGGGAACCUGGGGAACUGAAACAUCUAAUUACCCAGAGGAAAAGAAAUUAUUCCGCUAGUAGUGGCGAGCGAACGCGGAACAGCCCAAACCGGUUGUGCUUGCACAACCGGGGUUGUAGGGUCCAGCAUAUGGGAGUUACAAACCAGUCUGUUAGCUGAAUGCUUCUGGAAAGAGCAACCACAGCAGGUGAUAGUCCUGUAGGCGAAAACAGUCUGGCUCCCGCUGGAUACCUGAGUACUGCCGGGCACGCUAAUCCGGCAGGAACCCGGGGAGUCCACUCUCCAAGGCUAAAUACAUUUGACGACCGAUAGCGGACAAGUACCGUGAGGGAAAGGUGAAAAGUACCCCUGCUAGGGGAGUGAAAUAGAACCUGAAACCGUAUGCUUACAAUCAGUCGAAGGGCGUCUGGCCUGCCUUAGGGCGGGCUCGGCCUGACGGCGUGCCUCUUGGAGAAUGAGCCAGCGAGUUAAUAGUUGUGGCAAGCUUAAGGGAGUAACACCCGGAGGCGCAGCGAAAGCGAGUCUGAAUAGGGCGUACAGUCGCAACAAUUAGACACGAAACCCGGUGAGCUACCCAUGGCCAGGGUGAAGCGAGCUUAAAACCUCGUGGAGGCCCGUACCUACUAAUGUUGCAAAAUUAGGGGAUGAGCUGUGGGUAGGGGUGAUAUGCCAAUCGAACCGGGAGAUAGCUUGUUCUCCCCGAAAUAGCUUUAGGGCUAGCGUCACACGUUCAGUAUCGGGGGUAGAGCACUGAAGUGGCUAGGGGGCUUAUUGCCUACCAAACCGCAUCAAACUCCGAAUACCGGUACUCCAGAGUGUGGCAGUCGGACUACGGGUGAUGAGAUUCGUGGUCAAAAGGGAAACAGCCCAGACCAUCGGCUAAGGUCCCAAAAUUUGAGCUAAGUGGUAAACGAUGUGGGAUUACUCUGACAGCCAGGAGGUUGGCUUAGAAGCAGCCAUCCUUUAAAGAGUGCGUAACAGCUCACUGGUCAAGUGAUCCUGCGCGGACAAUUCAACGGGGCUAAGCUCAAUACCGAAGCCAUGGGUCGUGCGCAUCUUCGGAUGUGCAUGGCGGUAGGGGAGCGUUCUGCUUGCACUGAAGGUCGACCGGAAGGACGGCUGGAGCGGGCAGAAGUGAGAAUGCUGGCAUGAGUAGCGUAAAGCACGUGAGAAUCGUGUUCGCCGUAAGUCUAAGGUUUCCGACGCAAGGUUGUUCCGCGUCGGGUUAGUCGGCCCUUAGCUGAGGCCGAAAGGCGUAAGUGAUGGACAUCCGGUUAAUAUUCCGGAACCACCGCAGUUGAGUGAAGGGGGGACGCAGGACGGUAGAUCAGCCGACCCACUGGACAUGGUCGGUGCUAAACGGGUAGGUGUUGAGGUGCGCAGGGAAAUCCGCGCGCUGAGCUGAGACGUGAUGGCGUGGCCUAGAGCCUGAAGUGAUUGAGCCGAACUGCCAAGAAAAGCCUCGUAGCGUUGAGACUGUGGUGUCCGUACCGCAAACCGACACUGGUAGACGGGUAGAGAAUACCAAGGCGAACGGGAGAACCCUUGUUAAGGAACUAGGCAACAUGGCCCCGUAACUUCGGGAGAAGGGGUGCCUUUAAGCGUGAAGUAUGUACAUACCUAGCGCCUAGAGGUCGCAGUGAAUAGGCUCUGGUGACUGUUUAACAAAAACACAGGUCCCUGCUAAAGUGUAAACUGAUGUAUAGGGGCUGACGCCUGCCCAGUGCCGGAAGGUUAAGGGGAGAGGUUAGUCGCAAGACGAAGCUUUGAACUGAAGCCCCGGUGAACGGCGGCCGUAACUAUAACGGUCCUAAGGUAGCGAAAUUCCUUGUCGGGUAAGUUCCGACCCGCACGAAUGGCGUAACAACUGGAGCACUGUCUCAACAAGGGACCCGGCGAAAUUGAAGUAUCCGUGAAGAUGCGGAUUACCCGCAGCAGGACAAAAAGACCCCGUGGAGCUUUACUAUAGCUUGGCAUUGCGUUUGGGCUUGGUCUGUCCAGGAUAGGUGGGAGACUUUGAAACUGGGGCGCUAGCCUCGGUGGAGUCGCCCUUGGGAUACCACCCUGACCAAGUCUAGACCCUAACUUCAGACCGUAAUCCGGCUGGAAGACAGUGCCAGGUGGGUAGUUUGACUGGGGCGGUCGCCUCCUAAAGAGUAACGGAGGCGCCCAAAGGUUCCCUCAGGCUGAAUGGAAACCAGCCAAAGAGUGUAAAGGCAUAAGGGAGCUUGACUGCAAGACCAACAAGUCGCGCAGAGACGAAAGUCGGGCUUAGUGAUCCCACGGUACCGAGUGGAAGGGCCGUGGCUCAUCGGAUAAAAGCUACCCCGGGGAUAACAGGCUGGUCUUGCCCAAGAGUCCAUAUCGACGGCAAGGCUCGGCACCUCGAUGUCGGCUCGUCACAUCCUGGGGCUGUACAAGGUCCCAAGGGUUGGGCUGUUCGCCCAUUAAAGUGGUACGUGAGCUGGGUUCAAACCGUCGUGAGACAGGUUGGUCUCUAUCCGCUGUGGGCGAAGGGGAUUUGAGGGGAGCUGCUCCUAGUACGAGAGGACCGGAGUGGACAGACCUCUGGUGUGUCAGUUGUCGUGCCAACGGCAUAGCUGAGUAGCCACGUCUGGCAAGGAUAACCGCUGAAAGCAUCUAAGUGGGAAACCUGCCCCAAGAUGAGAUCCCCCAAGCUAUAUGCUUGUAAGACCGCAGAAAGACUAUCUGCUUGAUAGGCGUCAGGUGUACACGCAGCAAUGCGCUUAGCUUAGACGUACUAAUGGUCGAGAGGCUUCACAUAU
Molecule: ribosomal RNA, 2964 nt
Filed under: Chloroflexota bacterium
Lineage: Bacteria; Bacillati; Chloroflexota
Description: bacterial LSU rRNA
Rfam family: Bacterial large subunit ribosomal RNA
Source: RNAcentral